RNAcentral lists this ribosomal RNA (494 nucleotides) under uncultured bacterium. RNAcentral's name for it is "partial 16S ribosomal RNA". The stretch from base 59 to 494 matches the Rfam family "Bacterial small subunit ribosomal RNA", at positions 39 to 507 of the family's 1533-position model. The record is from RNAcentral.
GGGGGGGGGGGGGGGGGGGGGGGGGGGGGGCGGGGCGGGCGGGGGGGCGGGGGCGGGGGUGGUGGGGGGGGGUGGGGGGGGGACGGGGGGGUAACACGUGAGUAGCCGGCCCGCGGCUUCUGGAUAACCGCAUGCAAGUGUGGCUACGACGGGAUAUUCUGGGUCUGUCGCAUGAUGGGUCUGGGGCAGAUAUUGGUUCGGUGGGCGAUGGGCUCGCGGCCUAUCAGCUUGUGGGUGGGGUGAUGGCCUCCCCAGGCGGUGACGGGUCGCCGGCCUGAGAGGGUGGACGGUCACGCUGGGGCUGAGACACGGCCCAGACUCCUACGGGAGGCAGCAGUGGGGAAUAUUGCACAAUGGGCGCAAGCCUGAUGCAGCGACGCCGCGGGAGGGAUGGAGGCCUUCGGGUUGUGAACCUCUUUCGCCAGUGAAGCAGGCCUGCCUCGUGUGUGGGUGGGUUGACGGUAGCUGGAUAAGAAGCGCCGGCUAACUACGUG